GCUACUGCACGCUGGGGAAGGAUGAGAAGCUUCGACAGGUUCGAGUUGAGCGUAGCGAAACAACGCGCUUUAGCGCGGCCCGCAGGGCGAGUCGCCACGCGACGAGUUAUCCUUCCCCCACCACCA
Molecule: regulatory RNA element, 126 nt
Organism: Serratia odorifera DSM 4582
Lineage: Bacteria; Pseudomonadati; Pseudomonadota; Gammaproteobacteria; Enterobacterales; Yersiniaceae
Rfam family: RtT RNA
About the family: This family represents a bacterial cis-regulatory element known as RtT RNA. The exact function of RtT is unknown although it is thought that it may be involved in changing the cellular response in relation to amino acid starvation.
Source: Rfam